This 945-nucleotide ribosomal RNA is filed under the name Triticum aestivum (bread wheat). RNAcentral's name for it is "partial small subunit ribosomal RNA". Lineage: Eukaryota; Viridiplantae; Streptophyta; Magnoliopsida; Poales; Poaceae. The record is from RNAcentral.
AUGCUGAGUUACUGUUUUUCUUGUGUUGCAAUAUCAUUUCUUAUUGUUGCACAUAAACUAGAACUUUUUGUAGCUGCCAGGGGAAGGAUCCGUGUCGAUGCUGACAGUGUUCAGAGGGCAUUUGAUCUCCCAAACAAGGGUCCAAAAGUCAGAUAUUUAGUUGACAAGGAUGCCACUAGGAGAUUCAGACAGGCUUUCAACAUAAUUGGAAAUUCUCAUCCCCAGAUCACUACAUGGCUCAAGAUGAUUGAGCAUAUGGCUGGAAGAACGAAUGACACAUUCUUUAUGGCCUGGCUUGCGGUUGCCUUCAGCACUUUUCUAGCACCAACCAUGGCCUUGAAGCUCAGCCCAAAGUGUUAUGGACUUGUGCUAGAUCAUCAAAUGCUAAAGAAUACAAACAUCUGCCUCUUUGUAGCAGAACACAUUAACGAAGCUUUCCGGAACAUGGACCAGGAGAAGCAAACUGUUUGCUGCUGCUUGUAUCACUUGAUGAUACUAUACCUUGAUGCGCUCGUACAUGACAUCCCAGUAAGCAACUGCGCGAUACGAUCGAAUGCAUGGGAUAGUACUCUAAUUGCCAAGGUGAUCAAGAAGGAUACUAUCUCUCCUGGUGUGUUCGGCAAAUUACAACUUAAAGAGGAGUAUAGAGGCACGGAGCAGACACCACUGUUUGGUGGAAUUUUGCAAGCUGAAGCAUUUGUGGCAUCCAAGUUACCAAUAACAUACAAUCCGCAGAAAAAGGCAAAAUUUGCGAAAGUGGUCAAUGAGCUGUGCAAGGCUGUAACUGAACAGGUUGGCACCUUCAUUGAAGAAGUUGCCAAGAUUGAUGACGAGGAACCAGAUAUUGAUCCUUAUGUACAGCAGCCAUCAAUGCAAACUGGGGCAUCACGCCGUGCUCCAAAAAGAAAGAGACGGCGGAGAGGAGGAGGACAAGGAAGAAGAUAG